CCCUUGCCUUGUCUCUGUUUUCUUUCCGUAAAAUAUUUUGUUCCAGAAAUGUAACAGUUUGUGGUAUUUGCUGGGCAGCCUCCUGCCCAAUGUAUCAAAAUGUUCUGUGACUGUUUGAACUUACUGGCCCCUCUCUGGAAGGUUCUGUUAGCCCCGCCCCUCUUUCUGUGAGCGUGCUCACCCACGGUGCCUUUCAGGAACCCCGCCCCCACCCCUACCCCUGUUUCGGUGAGCUCGGCCACCCUGUAGACCCCUAUAUAAGGAGGGCUUAUACUCCAACUCCACUGAGCCCGCAAGCGUAUUAGGCUGUAACACUGUGCUGUAACACUUGGCUGUAGCACCGAGCUGUCCGCUUUGCCACAACAUUUACAUUGUCCACUGCCCAUCACCCUCAGAAGAUCCUGCGCAGCCAGAGGUAAUCACUGCUCUAAUUUUGUCACCCACGGGGUGGACCAACUGACCAGCAUAGAUACACGGGGACCCCAGCGAGCCCUGACUCACUGACUGGGCAUGAAAAGCGCUAGUGUGUGACACUCUGAAACCCUCCAAGGGUAAAUCUGACACAGACCGAAAGAACGCUGCUAUGGGACCGGGAAAACAUACUGAGAAGUCCUGCCAGCUGCAAGAUGUAAUCUGGUGGAGGAAAGUCCGAGAAAUUUCACUGGAAUUGAGGGACCAGGGUGUCAAAAGGAACAUCAGGAAUAAGGAAGAAGAGGAGGAAGACAGCAAAGGGUGGAGCAACGGUGUCAGUGACAUGAACUGAGGGACCCCCACGUCCCCUAGGGCCAAUGUCUGCCUUUUUUGUGCCUCUCUUUAGUUUUACUUUUUAGAGCUCAUCGAAUGGAAAAGCCCAUGAUAUUAACCUAUCCCGGUGUUCACAGUGGAGUCAAUCACAGAGACAUAGACAGGGAACUCCAGGCACUGAAUCUGGGAGGAGAAGAAGUGCUGCUGAAGCCUCGGGACCUCAACCCUGGGGGUCGGAAGCCCGUGUCACGUGAUCUCUGCCCUUCAGUUUAAGUCACCUGUCCUACAAACACACCAUGCUGCACACGCACUGCCUCUUGCAGUCCUGUUAGCACCCAACAAGCAGGGUGCUACAGAGGUCCUGGUGUUUCGGAGCAGACCCAGGGCUCAGGAAGGCUGCGGGACUCGCUGAGGCUGUGGAGGAAGUCAGUACUGAAAGCAGGUACGCACCUGAAGCCGGAAGUCCCAGGAACGAAUGACGAAGCUUAUCUCAUCUCGCACCGAUUAAACACAGCCUUCCCGCUCAGCCUGUGUUUGAACAUGUCUCGUGUCUGAGGCAGUCAAUUUGCAGUGUCUUGGACCCCAGGAAUCCAAAUGGCCGAUGCAAAGGUUAAAACUCAUUUCUUUGUCCCACGUAGCUCCCUGCAUAACUCAUUACCUAAAGGGGCUCUUAAUGCAUGGAGUGGAAUCAUGAGUCCGUAGAUUGUUCCUGAACUUUCCGGUUGUCCUUUUUGCUGAAGGCAUUAGCUGAAACACCUCUCCCUCUAUUUUGCACUGUCCCAGCCAGCCUGGACUGAUGCUCACUCUACAUGAUGAGGCCAUAUCCUGUUCCAAGCACUGUUGCUGCUCAAGAUGUAACCCCAACUCAGUGAUUUCAGUGCCCACCAUUGCAUUAUGCUUCUGGGUGCUGUGAGCUAGGUAUUUGGAAAAGGCACAGUGGGGAUCAUUCUUUGUUCCUUGAUGCUGAAGCCUUAGUUGAAAAGACUCAAAAGCUGAGGGGUAAUGCUGGGGGCUGACACCAUCUCCUGGUGAGUCUUAGUUCCUUUGUGUUGCUGUGACAAAACAAGCAACAGACAGAGAUAGAGACCAAAAGAAUAACGACAGCACUCUGGGAAACAGUUAUGUUGCAGCCAGGUGGCCCUGGACUCCCUAGUCAAUUGCAACAGUGAAUUCCCUUUCUAACAAAUGAGAUUUUCAACCGAGAUUCUGUCACUUGUGAUCACAAGGUCCUGAGUUAAACUUAUUAGAUAUAAGCAGCACUUGACAGCAUGGGUUCUGCCAAUCUCAUGCCAGCCCAAGAUCAUAAAGAAAAGGUUGCAGGUGGCAAGGAAGACUUAAGCAUAUUGAAUUCCUCCCAAGUGGAAACUUUCUUUGUUUUCUUGUGGUGCAGAUUCAUGCCUUCAUGUUCAUAGCUGGAAUCUGCAAGACGUGUAAAAUUGUAUGUACUGAGUUUCCAGCCCUGCCCUGGAACAGGAAGUACCAUAGGGCAAGAGGCCCAAACCUGGAUCCCACCAGGGCCGAGGCUGCCUCCCGUCAGCUGGGACUUUAGGGCCGCCGCUGUGAGGAGACUGCCACCAUUCUGAGCCACUUUGUUCUAAAUGGUUGCUUUUAAUAAAAAUCCUUAUUUGC
Molecule: long non-coding RNA, 2373 nt
Organism: Fukomys damarensis (Damara mole-rat)
Lineage: Eukaryota; Metazoa; Chordata; Mammalia; Rodentia; Bathyergidae
Exons: 4
Source: RefSeq, a predicted model, not a curated record